This 9558-nucleotide long non-coding RNA is filed under the name Fragaria vesca (wild strawberry). RNAcentral describes it as "long non-coding RNA (FVES_LNC001198)". The record is from RNAcentral. Lineage: Eukaryota; Viridiplantae; Streptophyta; Magnoliopsida; Rosales; Rosaceae.
AAUACUUAAACACAAUGGGCAAAAUUAAACGUGAGUCUCCCACACACUCAUCAUUGCCCAAGUUCGCCAUUCUUAACUCAAAAUGACUUAAACCUCACUGAACACACCGGCAGCCUUAAAUCAACCUUCCACAGAUUAAUGGCUUAAAUCCUUCGGCCGGAUUCUACAUUAAUUAACCGCCAAAAUACCAAACUUUGGAAAUUCACAAACCUAUCCAAAGCUCAUCCGAAAAUUCCAUAAUUCACUUCAAUAAACUCCCCUUAAUAUUCCAAAUUUAAAAACAUUAAAAUCUCUCAACCAGCGCCAACCCCGCCGGCAGCAGCGGCCGGAGGCCGAUUCCAACGACCUCUAAUUCCUAUGAAAUUUUGACAGAAUAAUCCUCUCAUCAUGCUCUACAACUUUCUUAACUAGCACAAACCCAAAAUCCAAGCCUAGCUAUGCCAAUCGAACAAAAACAUCAAAAACACCCUAGAACUUCCACCUCAAAUUUCUCCUUACCUGAAGCGAACCGGAGUAAGUCCUUUUAGGGCAAGGUAGCUGGGUUAGAGACCUACAAAACCAUACCAAGCUUGCCCGGAUUGGUGGCCGGAGGAGGGAGUUCCGGCAAAGGAGAGCUGUCAGCGUUUCCGGCGGUUUUCUCCUCUCCGGCGACGCUAUAGGCUUGGACGCUAGGCCGAGAAGAGAGAGGAGACGGCGGGGCUCCGAACUGGGCUGGAGCGGCUGUUGGUGGCUGGCCAGACGACGGCAGGCGACGGCUGGAAGUCCGACGGGGAGAGAGAGCUUGGGAGGGAGAACCGGGAAGAAUAGAAGGAAAAGAAAAAGAGAAGAGGGAAAUGGGCCUCUAACACCCGGUCCAACAACCUAUAUACCCACUCCACAACAAACCCAACUCCAAAAAUAAAACACCCGAAAAAAAAUACCAUAAUAAAAAUUACCUUUUACUAGCUAAAAUUUACCAUUUUUACCGUCAUCAUAUUUUUCUCCUACGAAUAACUCUCCGAAAUAAUCAUCCCCUAAAACCCCUCUAGGGACCAAUUAAACUAUACCUCAAUGACGGAGACGGUAAAAUUCUUAUUAUAACCAAGCUAGUAAAUAAGGUAAAAAUUUAAGGGUCGGGAUGUGACAAUUCUCCCCUCAUAAAAAUUUCGUCCUUGAAAUUUACAUACUUGUCAUUCGAAGAGAUAGGGAUACUACUGCAUCAUUUGCUCCUCUGAUUCCCAAGUAGCUUCUUCUACUUGAUGACUUCUCCAAAGCACCUUGACAAGUGGGUUUGUCUUGUUCCUGAGCACUUGCUCCUUUCGAUCAAGAAUCUGCACCGGAUCCUCUUCAUAAGACAAAUCUUUCGUCAAACUGAUCGGCUGCUCUUGCAGCACAUGAAAAGGAUCGGCAAUAUACUUGUGAAACAUGGAUACAUAAAACACAUUAUGUAUCCUAGAUAACUCUGGAGGCAAGGCUAAUCGAUAAGCAAGUGAGCCAACUCGCUCUAUUAUCUCAUAUGGGCCAAUAUACCUCGGACUAAGCUUCCACGCUUAUCAAAACGUACUACCCCUUUCCCAGGCGAUAGUUUCAAGAACACUCAAUCACCCACUUGAAAUUGAAGGUCUUUCCUACAGACAUCUGCAUAACUCUUCUGCCUACUUUGAGCGGCUUGAGUCUAUCUCUAACCAUUUUAAUCUUCUCAUUCGUAACAUGGACUAACUCUGGGCCACAAAGCUCUUUUUCCCCUACUUCAUUCCAACACAAAGGCGUACGACACUGCCUCCCAUAAAAAGCCUCAAAAGGAGCCAUACCAAUGCUAGAAUGAAAGCUAUUAUUAUAGGCAAAUUCCAUCAAAGAUAGGUUUUUAUCCCAACUCCCUCUGAACUGCAAGGCACAAGCCCUCAACAUAUCCUCCAAAGUCUGAAUAGUCCUCUCGGACUGCCCAUCAGUCUGAGGAUGAAAAGCAGUGCUGAAGAGUAAUUGGGUACCUAAAGCUGCAUGAAGAGCUCCCCAGAAUUUAGAAGCAAAUCUAGGAUCCUGAUCUGACACUAUUGAUUCAGGAACACCAUGAAGCCUCACAAUUUCAUUCACAUAAAGCUCGGCCAAUUUAUCCAAUUUAUACUUCUUUCUCACUGGCAAGAAAUGUGCAGACUUAGUGAGUCGAUCCACAAUCACCCAAAUACCGUCAUGCCCUUCACGGGUACGAGGUAAACUGAAAACAAAAUCCAUGGUGAUGUGGUCCCACUUCCACACUGGAAUAGGCAAUGGCUCAAGCAAUCCAGAAGGCUUCUGCCUUUCAACUUUUACUUGCUGACAAAUCAGACAUCUACUCACAUAAGCUGCAAUUUCCCUCUUCAUGUUUGGCCACCAAUAAUAAUCCAUCAAAAUCCGAUACAUUUUUGUGCUACCCGGAUGAGCAGCAUAAGCGGAACUAUGAGCUUCCUCCAUAAUCUCACUCUUCAACUCUUUAUUUCUUUUUGGAACACAUAACUGGUUCUUAAACAAUAGAGUCUCAUCUCUUCUAACUGAAAAAUGAUCGGCUGCGGCUCCAUUCGAAGCUCUUUCCAUCAAUCGAACUAUGGAAGGAUCAUUAUUCUGUGCUUCCCGCACUUUAUCAACCAACACUGGCCUCACAUGAAAACUGGGUACCAAAGCACCAACCUCAUCUACUGCUAAAUCCACCCAUGUAGCUCGCAACUCACAACGAAGCGGAACACGAACCAUCUUUAUAUGAGAUAAAGAUAUGGAGGGAUUUCGACUAAGAGCAUCAGCUACCACAUUAGCUUUUCCAGGAUGAUACUCAAUAAUGCAAUCAUAAUCAUUGAUUAACUCCAUCCACCUUCUCUGUCUCAUAUUUAGCUCUCUUUGAGUGAACACAUACCGAAGACUCUUGUGAUCGGUAAAAAUCUGACACUUGGCUCCAUAAAGAUAGUGUCUCCACAAUUUGAGAGCAAAAACUACCGCUGCAAGCUCCAGAUCAUGAGUAUGAUAAUUCCUCACAUGCGGCUUCAAUUGCCUAGAAGCGUAGGCAAUAACUCGAUCAUGCUGCAUCAAAACUCCACCUAGACCAUGUCUAGAAACAUCACAAUAGAUCAUAUACUCUCCACUAUCAUCCGGAAGUGCCAAAACAAGAGCACUUGUCAAGCAAUUCUUCAAUUCUUGAAAACUUUGCUUACAUUGAUCUGACCAUUCAAACUUAACCCCCUUUCUGGUCAAUCUUGUAAGAGGAGCAGCAAUCUUUGAAAAAUCUUUCACAAAGCGCCGAUAAUAACCUGCUAAUCCCAAGAAACUACGAAUCUCCGUCACAGUGGUGGGUCUUCUCCAAUUUGACACUGCUUCCACCAUUUGGGGAUCCACACUAACUCCUUCUACCGAAACCACAUGACCCAAGAACCCCACUUUAUCUAGCCAAAACUCACACUUGCUAAACUUAGCAUAUAACUGCGAAUUUUUCAAAGUCCGCAAUAUUAUUCUUAGAUGCUUGGCAUGCUCCUUCUCACUUCUUGAGUAAACCAAGAUGUCAUCUAUGAAUACGAUCACGAAACGAUCAAGAUAUGGACUAAACACCCUAUUCAUGAGAUCCAUGAACGUCGCGGGUGCAUUAGUAAGUCCAAAUGGUAUCACCACAAACUCAUAAUGACCAUAUCGUGACCGAAAAGCAGUCUUGGCUAUGUCCCCCUCUUGGAUCUGCAACUGAUGAUAACUCGAUCUCAAGUUAAUCUUAGAGAAAAUAGAGGCACCCCUCAACUAAUCAAAUAAAUCAUCGAUCCGAGGCAACGGAUAUUUAUUCUUCACUAUGACCUGAUUCAACUUCUUAUAAUCAAUGCAUAGUUUCAUGGUGCCGUCUUUCUUCUUAACAAACAACACCGGAGCACCCCAUGGAGACAUACUAGGCCGAAUAAAACCUUUGUCUACCAACUCCUGCAAUUGAGUCUUCAACUCUUUCAAUUCCGCUGGAGCCAUUCUGUAAGGUGCCUGAGAGAUAGGCAUAGUUCCGGGAAGUAAUUCUAUAGAGAAGUCUAUCUCCCUUACAGGAGGCAAACCAGGUAACUCCUCAGGAAAAACAUCCGAAAACUCCCUUACAACAGGAAUAUCUUCUAAUCCCACAACUCCCAUACUUGAAUCCACCACAUGAGCUAAAUAUGCCUGACAGCCUUUACUCAAAAAUUUUCUUUGCAGCAACAUCAGAAAUUAUGCAACUAGAAAUAACAUCUCUUUCCCCUUGGAAAGCAACCUCAAAACCAUCUGGACUUCGAAGCACCAUUACUUUCUGAUAACAAUCUAGCAUAGCUCUAUAUGCUUCCAAAAAGUUCAUUCCCAAGAUCACAUCAAACUCUACUAUAUCUAAAAGAAUUAAAUCAGCCUCGAAAUUAACUCAUUCCACUAAAACUUCACAACCACUAAACACCCAAUUUAUUCUCAUCACCUCACCGGAGGGUAGAGACACAUGCCACUCGCCUGGAAGAGACGAUGAUGGCACAUUGGCAUGAGGGCAAAUCUACUAGACAUGAAUGAAUGCGUGGCUCCGAGAUCAAUUAAAGUAAAUGCAGGCUGACCAAAAUUUAAUAACGUACCAAUGAUGACAUCUGGAGAAGUACGACCUUGCUACUGGGUCAUAGCAUGCAGUCUAGCGCGAGUCAUGGGACGUCCACGCUGACCACCACCUCACUGAGAGCCACCUCUGACCGAAGCACUGCCUUGGGCACCACUACUAGAGCCCCUAGCUGAAGACUGACCAACUGGCUGAGUAGGGGUGGGGGUGGUCCUCUGAGCCAACAAUGGACAAUCUCUCCUGAAGUGGUCCUGACCACCACACUCAAAGCACCCAGAAAACUGUUGCUGCCCAUAAGAAAAAGUCUAGCUACCGGAUGACCCACCAUGGAAGCUACCACCAGAACCAUACUGCCCAGACUGCUGCCUACCCAAAUGACUCUGAGAAGGUCUCCUGAAACGUCCUCUAGUCCUGUUUCGAGCACCAGAGCUCGAUCCCCCACUACUACCACUACCAGCAGAAGACCCAGAAGCAGAUGAUGAAGCAGCCUUCUUGGAUGGACCCUGACUAGGGCCACCGUAAUCACGGGGCCAAACACCAUAUGUCCCCCUGGACUCAAUGGCCAUAGCUGCACCAACUGCAUCCGUAAAGGUCGGGUAAAUUACCCCUGUCAUCUUGUCCGCAUACACCCCACCAAGUGCCCCAAUGAAUAUCUCAAUCCUGGUCUUCUCAUCAGGAACCAAAUAGGACACAUGGUAGCUCAGGAAAGUGAAUCUUUCCUGGAACUCAAUGAUACCCUCAUCAUCCCUCUUCGUCAUAUGCAGGAAAUCCGACUGAAUUCUACUACGGUGGGCAUGAUUGAAAUAUUGCCCCAAGAAGAGAGUCUUAAACUGCUCCCACGACAUAUUCAGCGCAUCCUCAACAUUCCUGCUGGUAAGCGACCACUAGUGAUGUGCUGAAUCAUCCAGAAAAGUCAUUGCCAUCUUCACCUUUCUUUCUUCUGGCAACUCAGUGCUCGCAAAAGCAUUUUCCACCUUGUCCACCCAAUUGUGAGCAUUAAGAGGUCCCUUGGCACCCUUGAACUCUCUGGCUCCAGCAUCAUAAACUUCUCUCCUUUUCUCCGUAGGAGGGCGUGGAGCUCGAUCCAUGACAUCCCUCAACAUAUUACCAAUAUCAUCAACCAGUCCCCUGACCUCAUUGCCCUCAUCGGCAUUAGUCGAAAUAGCCACACGGGGUUGCCGUGGGCGCCUAGGAGGCAUAGUACCUGAGGAAGAAGAUAUUUAGUAGUCCAUAAACAAGACUAAUACAAUUAUCACACAUUCCCAAUAACACAUAACAUCAAAAGCAUAAAAUGCCAAUGAAUCCGUCGCGGUCGGAUCAUCACUCUAUAGACACUACGUGCUACUUAAGCAAAUAUGAUAGUGACAAGGAAGCAGGAAAAGGAAACCUAAAGCUCUGAUACCAACUGACACGACCCACCCCGAAUUUCACCCUGAAACCCGGAGUAAGUCGUGCGGGGACCACCUCCAAAGAAGAUAUUACCGAAAAUUCGACAUAACCUCUCUUGAAAAUGGACAAGCCUUCCUAAGGAAACAUGCAAACACUUCCAAUAUUUUCAAUCCAACCUUAACUCCUGGAGCCUACGUGCUCCCCAAACACAACCACCACCAACAACAACAACCAAUAUUAUCCAAACAUCAAAAAUAUAAUUAUCCAAAGAAGAUAACAUAAAUCCUCCAACAAAUAUUUUAAAAUGUCAACAUGCCUUCGCUCACAACCGAAAUAAUAUUAUACAAUAUCUCCAAGGGAAAAUCAGAGCUACUAGACACUAGAGGAAGCAAGAAAAAUACAGGUAGGUUAAACAGGUAACCUACGGAUGAAAAGUGGUGGAAAUGCAGGUGACUAUGUCUCGCCUCCUACUAGAACCAACCCGAACUCUGCAGACUGAGCAUUUUAAAACGAAGGGCCCAGGGGAAGACAUUUAUUAACACGUUAGAGUGAGUGGACAAAAAUGAAUUAACAAAUAUUUAUGCAUUCCCAAUUUGAAUUUCAUAGAAAUAUAUUGCAUGCGGCAGCUCAAAAGCUACUCAACUCAACGAUUGGCNNNNNNNNNNNNNNNNNNNNNNNNNNNNNNNNNNNNNNNNNNNNNNNNNNNNNNNNNNNNNNNNNNNNNNNNNNNNNNNNNNNNNNNNNNNNNNNNNNNNNNNNNNNNNNNNNNNNNNNNNNNNNNNNNNNNNNNNNNNNNNNNNNNNNNNNNNNNNNNNNNNNNNNNNNNNNNNNNNNNNNNNNNNNNNNNNNNNNNNNNNNNNNNNNNNNNNNNNNNNNNNNNNNNNNNNNNNNNNNNNNNNNNNNNNNNNNNNNNNNNNNNNNNNNNNNNNNNNNNNNNNNNNNNNNNNNNNNNNNNNNNNNNNNNNNNNNNNNNNNNNNNNNNNNNNNNNNNNNNNNNNNNNNNNNNNNNNNNNNNNNNNNNNNNNNNNNNNNNNNNNNNNNNNNNNNNNNNNNNNNNNNNNNNNNNNNNNNNNNNCCGGCAUCCACCCCUACCACCAGCAAUGGGCCCCGGCGGCAGCCCCUCCUCCUCCCUCGGCCGUCGCCGCUGCCAUUCUUAACUCUGAGAGGGUAAAAAGAUUAACCAGGGCUAUUUUAGUCAUUUUAGUCGAGAUUGAUGUCAUUUUGAAAGUUUAGGUAUGAAACUGAUUAAAAAAAAAGAUGAGGUAUCAAACUGAUUUUAGACCUAAAGUUCAGGGUAGUGAAAUAUAUAUGUGUAUGUAUUUAUACUCGUCAUACUUCUUGUACGAAUUCUAUGAAGGAAUAAGCAAAAUAGAAAUUCAUACAAAGCUACUACGCUUGCGUCUAACGCUCACGUCACACCAUAAUGGAAUUUUUCCUCAUUAUGGCGGAAAAGCACGAGUGUAUAUACGUGUGGACUCCCUAUAUGAAAACCUAUAUGAACCAGAAAAGAAAAUAGUUUUCAUAUAGGGCUACUACGUUUGUGUCUAACACUCACGUCACGCCAUAAUGAUAUUUUACCUCAUUAUGACCGAUCAAGCACGCGUGGCUACCUAGCAUUUAUAUAUACAUACUAUCCUCAUAAACAUUCAAUAAACAUAUCCACCGAAAAUCUCAUUUCCGGGAACUCUCCAAAGGAGGAAAAUUGCCAAAUAUCCAAGAAAUAAAUAAAUCUCAGCAAAAGAAAUAAAUGAUCAACAAAAUAAUUCAUCGCAUGUUUUUCAAUUAAAACAAAGGUCCACUCACAAAUUAGGCCUAAGCCUGAUGACGCUCCGAGGCUUCCUCUGCUCGGGCUUCCUCUCGUCUUGUUCCAAAUAUAUAAUUAAUUCUCACUAAAAAACCAAUAAUUAAACACAAUGGGCAAAAUUAAACGUGAGUCUCCCACACACUCAUCAUUGCCCAAGUUCGCCAUUCUUAACUCAAAAUGACUUAAACCUCACUGAACACACCGGCAGCCUUAAAUCAACCUUCCACAGAUUAAUGGCUUAAAUCCUUCGGCCGGAUUCUACAUUAAUUAACCGCCAAAAUACCAAACUUCGGAAAUUCACAAACCUAUCCAAAACUCAUCCGAAAAUUCCAUAAUUCACUUCAAUAAACUCCCCUUAAUAUUCCAAAUUUAAAAACAUUAAAAUCUCCCAACCGGCGGCGGCGCCGGCACCAGCCCCGCUGGCAACGGCGGCCGGAGGCCGAUUCCAGCGACCUCUAAUUCCUAUGAAAUUUUGACAGAAUAAUCCUCUCAUCAUGCUCUACAACUUUCCUAACUAGCACAAACCCAAAAUCCAAGCCUAGCUAUGCCAAUUGAACAAAAACAUCAAAAACACCCUAGAACUUCCACCUCAAAUUUCUCCUUACCUGAAGCGAACUGGAGUGAGUCCUUUUAGGCAAGGCAGCUGGGUUAGAGACCUACAAAACCAUACCAAGCUUGCCCGGAUUGAUGGCCGGAGGAGGGAGUUCCGGCAAAGGAGAGCUGUCGGCGUUUCCGGCGGUUUUCUCCUCUCCGGCGACGCUAUAGGCUUGGACGCUAGGCCGGGAAGAGAGAGGAGACGGCGGGGCUCCGAACUAGGCUGGAGCGGCGGCCAGUGGCUGGCCGGACAGCGGCAGGCGACGGCUGGAAGUCCGACGAGGAGAGAGAGCUCGGGAGGGAGAACCGGGAGGAAGAGAAGGAAAAGAAAAAGAGAAGAGGGAAAUGGGCCUCUAACACCCGGUCCAACAAGCUAGUAAAUAAGGUAAAAAUUUAAGGGUCGGGAUGUGACAUUAGAUGUGGAAUCCAUGUAUCUAGUUGCAAAUCCACCGACGUUGAUUGCAGUUAUAUCAAAAUCUAUUAUUUUGAAAGCGUUAUGACAUGAUUUCCAAAAUCUCCUGGAGAAUUAUGACCUCGUUUGGUUGAUGGAAAAAAAAUUGUUUCUUUGGUCUUUCUUAUGUACAUAGGAAAGUAAAUUUCCCACUAGUUUCUUUACGAGGUGUUUGAGAACGUCGAGUAAGUAACUAGGAAUUGUAUUUUACUUUCCUUUCCAAUGUUUCUCCCCGGGGUGAUGUGGGACGGGUGCAGUCACUAGCUUGUCAGUGCCCUUAUAGCACCCGCCCAGUUAGGUCGCCACAAUCCACCCCACUUAGGGGCCCGACGUUCGUGUCGGCACACUUACGGCGGGGAAUAGGCUUUUAUACCAUAUGUAAUUUUUAAAAAUUUGAACAUGAUAAAUCUCAAAAAUACCCCAAUACAUGUCCAUUAACUUCAAAUACUAAACUCAAAGGCUGAAAAUAUAAAUUUCAAUAUAUGUUCAACACUACUGAGUCAAAUAUUACAUCUUUUUGUUUACAUCAACUUGAAAUGUCAAGUAAAAUGCAAACGCUUACCAAGAGCUUAAUAUAGACCGACAAAAUAUAAUAAUAAAAGUUCAACAACUAAAACUCUGUCUCUAUGCCUCCACCUCACUUCCGAUGAUCAUCACCUGCAAGUAACAUUAAUUUAUCAAUUAUAUUUUUAGUAUUAAAAUAUAAAAUAUUCAAAAUUCAAAAUUUGUAUAGAUAAUUUGGUAAUAACAUACAUUAAAAUAAUAUUUAAAAGAUACAAUUAAUGUGUA